UUCGGGGUACUCGAGCGGCGAACGGGUGAGUAACACGUGAGUAACCUGCCCCUGACUCUGGGAUAAGCCUGGGAAACCGGGUCUAAUACCGGAUACGACCAUUUCUCGCAUGGGAUGGUGGUGGAAAGUUUUUUCGGUUGGGGAUGGGCUCGCGGCCUAUCAGCUUGUUGGUGGGGUGAUGGCCUACCAAGGCGACGACGGGUAGCCGGCCUGAGAGGGCGACCGGCCACACUGGGACUGAGACACGGCCCAGACUCCUACGGGAGGCAGCAGUGGGGAAUAUUGCGCAAUGGGCGGAAGCCUGACGCAGCGACGCCGCGUGGGGGAUGACGGCCUUCGGGUUGUAAACCUCUUUCAGCAGGGACGAAGUUGACGUGUACCUGUAGAAGAAGCGCCGGCUAACUACGUGCCAGCAGCCGCGGUAAUACGUAGGGCGCGAGCGUUGUCCGGAAUUAUUGGGCGUAAAGAGCUCGUAGGUGGCUUGUCGCGUCUGCCGUGAAAGCCCGUGGCUUAACUACGGGUCUGCGGUGGAUACGGGCAGGCUAGAGGCUGGUAGGGGCAAGCGGAAUUCCUGGUGUAGCGGUGAAAUGCGCAGAUAUCAGGAGGAACACCGGUGGCGAAGGCGGCUUGCUGGGGCCAGUUCUGACGCUGAGGAGCGAAAGC
This 663-nucleotide ribosomal RNA is filed under the name Microbispora sp. AZIB8. RNAcentral's name for it is "bacterial SSU rRNA". It matches the Rfam family "Bacterial small subunit ribosomal RNA", at positions 81 to 760 of the family's 1533-position model. Lineage: Bacteria; Bacillati; Actinomycetota; Actinomycetes; Streptosporangiales; Streptosporangiaceae. The record is from RNAcentral.